Molecule: unclassified non-coding RNA, 82 nt
Filed under: Pseudomonas vancouverensis
Lineage: Bacteria; Pseudomonadati; Pseudomonadota; Gammaproteobacteria; Pseudomonadales; Pseudomonadaceae
Source: RNAcentral
CGAAAUGAAGGGCCUGGCCAAGCGCCUGGCGGCCGAGUUCAAUUUCUCGGCCGCUGAGAUUAUGGCCAUGCCCUUUUCCGAA